UAUUGGUCAAUGGAGGCAACUCUGAACCAGCCAUGCCGCGUGCAGGAAGACGGCCCUAUGGGUUGUAAACUGCUUUUAUUGGGGAAUAACCUCCUGUAUGUAUACAGGACUGAAUGUACCCAAGGAAUAAGGAUCGGCUAACUCCGUGCCAGCAGCCGCGGUAAUACGGAGGAUCCAAGCGUUAUCCGGAAUCAUUGGGUUUAAAGGGUCCGUAGGCGGGACAAUAAGUAAGUGGUGAAAGUCUGCAGCUUAACUGUAGAAUUGCCGUUGAAACUGUUGUUCUUGAGUAAUUAUGAAGUGGUUAGAAUAUGUAGUGUAGCGGUGAAAUGCAUAGAUAUUACAUAGAAUACCGAUUGCGAAGGCAGAUCACUAAUAAUUCACUGACGCUGAUGGACGAAAGCGUAGGUAGCGAACAGG
RNAcentral lists this ribosomal RNA (417 nucleotides) under uncultured bacterium. RNAcentral describes it as "bacterial SSU rRNA". It matches the Rfam family "Bacterial small subunit ribosomal RNA", at positions 362 to 776 of the family's 1533-position model. The record is from RNAcentral.